GGAGUUUCCUUUAUUCUGCCAGUUACCUGGUGGACGACCCGACCUCCUAUUAAAACACUGUUGGUGUUUCCUUUAUUCUGCCAGUUACCUGGUGGUUGGUGGAGGACCUGGAGUUUCCUUUAUUCUGCCAGUUACCUGGUGGACGACCCGACCUCCUAUUAAAACACUGUUGGAGUUUCCUUUAUUCUGCCAGUUACCUGGUGGUUGGUGGAGGACCUGGAGUUUCCUUUAUUCUGCCAGUUACCUGGUGGAGGACCCGACCUCCUAUUAAAACACUUUAUGUUGCUGUUUCCUUCACAAGGUUCAUUUCCAUCUUGCUGUUUGUUGAAAGGUCAAGAUGUUUGGAUGUGUAUUUUAUUCUUCUGAUUGUUACAGAUUGGCUAAAUGCAGACAAAAUGCAACCCAAAACAGUCUUACCACAGUGUGCUUAUUGUGUGUGUGUGUGUGUGUGUGUGUGUGUGCGUGUGCUUAUUGUGUGUGUGUGUGUGUUGCGUCAGGUCUGCUUUCACCUAGUUAUGUAUAGCUGUUGUGUUUCAAUGUCAAAGUAUUAUUCAGGUCCUGAGGGCCAAAACAUUUCUGCUUUCUCUUCCUACCUGAUGUCCCCAGGUCUGAAUGAGUCUCUCUACCUGAUGUCCCCAGGUCUGAAUGAGUCUCUCUACCUGAUGUCCCCAGGUCUGAAUGAGUCUCAGGUCUGAAUGAGUCUCUCUACCUGAUGUCCCCAGGUCUGAAUGAGUCUCUCUACCUGAUGUCCCCAGGUCUGAAUGAGUCUCUCUACCUGAUGUCCCCAGGUCUGAAUGAGUCUCUCUACCUGAUGUCCCCAGGUCUGAAUGAGUCUCUCUACCUGAUGUCCCCAGGUCUGAAUGAGUCUCUCUACCUGAUGUCCCCAGGUCUGAAUUAGUCUCUCUACCUGAUGUCCCCAGGUCUGAAUGAGUCUCAGGUCUGAAUGAGUCUCUCUACCUGAUGUCCCCAGGUCUGAAUGAGUCUCUCUACCUGAUGUCCCCAGGUCUGAAUGAGUCUCAGGUCUGAAUGAGUCUCUCUACCUGAUGUCCCCAGGUCUGAAUGAGUCUCUCUACCUGAUGUCCCCAGGUCUGAAUGAGUCUCUACCUGAUGUCCCCAGGUCUGAAUGAGUCUCUCUACCUGAUGUCCCCAGGUCUGAAUGAGUCUCUCUACCUGAUGUCCCCAGGUCUGAAUGAGUCUCUCUACCUGAUGUCCCCAGGUCUGAAUGAGUCUCUCUACCUGAUGUCCCCAGGUCUGAAUGAGUCUCUCUACCUGAUGUCCCCAGGUCUGAAUGAGUCUCAACCUGUUGUCCCCAGAUCUGAACGAGUCUCGGGUCUGAACGAGUCUCGGAUUACAGGUAGAGGAUGAGAACCAGUAGUGUUUCGUCCCUCCAGGACCAGAAAGAAAUAGCCCUUGGCUAGAUUCAAUCUGAUCCGCAGAAGAUCCGGGUUAUAGUUCACCUUUAAAAAAAACCAAAAAGGUAAUUUACGAUUGAGCCUACUGUUAACGUGGAAACUUUACCUUUUAAUAAGGUGCACAGCCGAAAAGAGGAGAUCGGAUUUGAAUCUAGGAACAGCUUCCUCCCUCCCUCCAGUCCUAACGAGGGGUGAGAGAUAUAUAUAUAUAUGGGUCCCGUGUGGCUCAGUUGGUAGAGCAUGGGUGUUUGCAACGCCAGGGUUGUGGGUUCGAUUCCCACGGGGGACCAAUACGUGGGGGGGGGGGGAAAUGUCUGAAAUGUAUGCAUUCACUACUGUAAGUCGCUCUGGAUAAGAGCGUCUGCUAAAAUAACUAAAAUGUAAAUGUUAAUAACUGAUCUAGGAUCAGUUUCCUCCCUCCAGUCCUAACAGGUCACCAUUAGAGAGGUGAUAUAUAUAUAUAUAUAACUGAUCUAGGAUCAGUCCUAACGGGUCACCAUUAGAGAGGUGAUAUAUAUAACUGAUCUAGGAUCAGUCCUAACAGGUCACCAUUAGAGAGGUGAUAUAUAUAUAUAUAUAUAUAUAUAUAACUGAACUAGGACCAGUGUUAAACAGAGCUGAAUGUCUGUCUGGUUCAUACCAUUUAUGAUGCUGAUGUAUUGUUAUUAUAAUGACAUUAAAUUAUUGAAUGUUUCUGUC
RNAcentral lists this long non-coding RNA (2111 nucleotides) under Salmo salar (Atlantic salmon). RNAcentral describes it as "lncRNA (ENSSSAG00000117486.1)". The stretch from base 1737 to 1791 matches the Rfam family "UnaL2 LINE 3' element". The record is from RNAcentral. Lineage: Eukaryota; Metazoa; Chordata; Actinopteri; Salmoniformes; Salmonidae.